GAUGAACGCUAGCUACAGGCUUAACACAUGCAAGUCGCGGGGUAUCAUGGAGGUUGCUUGCAAUUUCUGAUGGCGACCGGCGCACGGGUGAGUAACGCGUAUCCAACCUUCCCAUUACUACGGCAUACCCCGUUGAAAGGCGGCCUAAUUCCGUAUGCAGUCCGAAGCAGUCAUCUAAUUUGGACGAAAGGUAUAUUCUAUCGGUAAUGGAUGGGGAUGCGUCCGAUUAGCCAGCCGGCGGGGUAACGGCCCACCGGGGCAUUGAUCGGUAGGGGUUCUGAGAGGAAGGUCCCCCACACUGGAACUGAGACACGGUCCAGACUCCUACGGGAGGCAGCAGUGAGGAAUAUUGGUCAAUGGGCGUAAGCCUGAACCAGCCAAGUAGCGUGCAGGAUGACGGCCCUAUGGGUUGUAAACUGCUUUUAUGCGGGGAUAAAGUUGGGGACGUGUCCCUUUUUGCAGGUACCGCAUGAAUAAGGACCGGCUAAUUCCGUGCCAGCAGCCGCGGUAAUACGGAAGGUCCGGGCGUUAUCCGGAUUUAUUGGGUUUAAAGGGAGCGUAGGCAGUUUUUUAAGCGUGCUGUGAAAUGUACCGGCUCAACCGGUGAUGUGCAGCGCGAACUGGGAAUCUUGAGUACGCAGUAAGCAGGCGGAAUUCGUGGUGUAGCGGUGAAAUGCUUAGAUAUCACGAAGAACUCCGAUUGCGUAGGCAGCUUGCUGUAGCGUAACUGACGCUGAAGCUCGAAAGUGCGGGUAUCGAACAGG
This 764-nucleotide ribosomal RNA is filed under the name uncultured Prevotella sp. RNAcentral describes it as "bacterial SSU rRNA". It matches the Rfam family "Bacterial small subunit ribosomal RNA", at positions 28 to 776 of the family's 1533-position model. The record is from RNAcentral. Lineage: Bacteria; Pseudomonadati; Bacteroidota; Bacteroidia; Bacteroidales; Prevotellaceae.